RNAcentral lists this ribosomal RNA (277 nucleotides) under uncultured bacterium. RNAcentral describes it as "partial 16S ribosomal RNA". It matches the Rfam family "Bacterial small subunit ribosomal RNA", at positions 81 to 354 of the family's 1533-position model. The record is from RNAcentral.
CCGGUUGCCGGCGACCGGCGCACGGGUGAGUAACACGUAUGCAACCUGCCCGUGGCAGGGGGAUAAGCGGGGGAAACCCCGUCUAAUACCGCGUAACGCGGCCUUGGGGCAUCCCAAGGCCGCCAAAGGGAGCAAUCCCGGCCACGGAUGGGCAUGCGGCGCAUUAGCUAGUCGGCGGGGUAACGGCCCACCGAGGCGACGAUGCGUAGGGGUUCUGAGAGGAAGGCCCCCCACACUGGUACUGAGACACGGACCAGACUCCUACGGGAGGCAGCAG